RNAcentral lists this long non-coding RNA (659 nucleotides) under Dasypus novemcinctus (nine-banded armadillo). RNAcentral's name for it is "lncRNA (ENSDNOG00000052946.1)". The record is from RNAcentral. Lineage: Eukaryota; Metazoa; Chordata; Mammalia; Cingulata; Dasypodidae.
GACAGAGUCCGAUUGGUCCUCGGAUGGCGGAGGAACCCGAGACGAUUCUGUCUGUGAAGUUGCUAGCCCUAGGUUUCCACUUCCGCCGGGGCCUUUUCACCUCUUGCUGCCUUGGCUCUAACUUAGAAAGUUUCACGGAAGAUGUGAGUGAGUUUUUAGCAGUGGCUCUCGUAGUUCUUAGUUGAGGUUCUGCGGUCCGUCCAAGAGACAGCCUCUAACUCUUGGUAACUAGGGUCCUUAGCGAAUGCGAAUUGUAGUUUUCUUUCAUGAAAACAUUUCCUAGGUUUUAGAAUUUGCAUUUAUUUCAGACCCUGUGGGUACGGUUUUCCCACCGUAACAGUCUUACAUACGGGUACCACCCUCUCGGAAGGAACCUAAACAUCAACUUCCUUCCAAUCCUAGGAGACCAUCUUCACUUUUUAACAUUCAGGAGAUCAGUACUGUGAGGAAAGGACACGACUCUAUGGUGAGGACUGAUGGACAUACAUUAUCUGAGAAAAGAAACUACCAGCCUCCAGCUCUGAGCUUUCCAAUCCCCAGAGUAGCAAAUGUUGAAAGAAGUUGCACAGGUAAGUAUGUGUGGGGAAAGCUGGGGAAUAAAAUGGUACUGUUGUCAGUAUUUUGAGGGUGGAUGUUGGGCCAUUUACCAGUGAGCGGUU